RNAcentral lists this ribosomal RNA (497 nucleotides) under uncultured bacterium. RNAcentral's name for it is "partial 16S ribosomal RNA". It matches the Rfam family "Bacterial small subunit ribosomal RNA", at positions 28 to 507 of the family's 1533-position model. The record is from RNAcentral.
GAUGAACGCUGGCGGCGUGCCUAAUACAUGCAGGUCGAGCGAACAGACGAGGAGCUUGCUCCUCUGACGUUAGCGGCGGACGGGUGAGUAACACGUGGAUAACCUACCUAUAAGACUGGGAUAACUUCGGGAAACCGGAGCUAAUACCGGAUAAUAUAUUGAACCGCAUGGUUCAAUAGUGAAAGACGGUUUUGCUGUUACUUAUAGAUGGAUCCGCGCUGCAUUAGCUAGUUGGUAAGGUAACGGCUUACCAAGGCAACGAUGCGUAGCCGACCUGAGAGGGUGAUCGGCCACUCUGGAACUGAGACACGGUCGAGCCUCGUGCGGGACGCAGCAGUAGGGAAUCUUCCGCAAUGGGGGAAGGCUUGACGGUGGAACGCCGCGUGAGUCAUGAAGGUCUUCGGAUCGUGGAACUCUGUUCUUGGGGAAGGACGUAUGUGUAAGUAACUAUGCACGUCUUGACGGUACCUAAGCAAAAAGCCACGGCUAACUACGUG